UACCAGCACCCCGAGUGGUCGGGACGUUUAUUGGGCCUAAAGCAUCCGUAGCCGGUUCUACAAGUCUUCCGUUAAAUCCAACUGCUUAACAGGUGGGCUGCGGAAGAUACUAUAGAGCCAGGAGGCGGGAGAGGCAAGCGGUACUCGAUGGGUAGGGGUAAAAUCCGUUGAUCCAUUGAAGACCACCAGUGGCGAAGGCGGCUUGCCAGAACGCGCUCGACGGUGAGGGAUGAAAGCUGGGGGAGCAAACCGG
This 253-nucleotide ribosomal RNA is filed under the name uncultured bacterium. RNAcentral describes it as "partial 16S ribosomal RNA". It matches the Rfam family "Archaeal small subunit ribosomal RNA", at positions 474 to 727 of the family's 1478-position model. The record is from RNAcentral.